UUUAAGUGCAACUAUAUGUUUCCGCACCUAACUUUGAUCGUCCGUCUUAUUUAAAUUUUUUUUUAUAAUUAGUAUUUUUUUUGUUAUGACAUGAUAAAACAUGAAUAACUUAUGUUUUAUUUUCUUUUCAAAAAUUUUUCAAAUAAGACGAACGAUUAAAGUUGGAACGCGGAAAACCAUGGCUGCACUUAAA
Non-coding RNA from Oryza glumipatula, 193 nucleotides. The record is from Rfam. NCBI's taxonomy places the organism in Eukaryota, Viridiplantae, Streptophyta, Magnoliopsida, Poales, Poaceae.